This 72-nucleotide transfer RNA is filed under the name Micromonospora tulbaghiae. RNAcentral's name for it is "tRNA-Ser". Lineage: Bacteria; Bacillati; Actinomycetota; Actinomycetes; Micromonosporales; Micromonosporaceae. The record is from RNAcentral. RNAcentral also lists the same sequence under 1 other name.
GCCGUAUGGCGCGGCCAUGACUCUCACCGCCCUCCGGAGGCGGGAGCGCAGGUUCGAAUCCUGCCGGGGGCA